RNAcentral lists this ribosomal RNA (118 nucleotides) under Nannospalax galili (Upper Galilee mountains blind mole rat). Lineage: Eukaryota; Metazoa; Chordata; Mammalia; Rodentia; Spalacidae. The record is from RNAcentral.
GUCUGUGGCCAUACCACCCUGAAUACACCCCAUCUUGUCUGAUCUCAGAAGCUAAGGAGAGUUGGGUAUGGUUAGAAUUUGAAUGGGAAAAUUCCAAGACAGUUCAGAUGCACAGAUC